CAGCACCUCAAGUGGUCAGGAUGAUUAUUGGGCCUAAAGCAUCCGUAGCCGGCUCUGUAGGUUUUCGGUUAAAUCUGUAUGCUCAACAUACAGGCUGCCGGGAAUACUGCAGAGCUAGGGAGUGGGAGAGGUAGACGGUACUCGGUAGGAAGGGGUAAAAUCCUUUGAUCUAUUGAUGACCACCUGUGGCGAAGGCGGUCUACCAGAACACGUCCGACGGUGAGGGAUGAAAGCUGGGGGAGCAAACCGGAUUAGAUACCCGAGUAGUCC
RNAcentral lists this ribosomal RNA (270 nucleotides) under uncultured archaeon. RNAcentral's name for it is "partial 16S ribosomal RNA". It matches the Rfam family "Archaeal small subunit ribosomal RNA", at positions 477 to 747 of the family's 1478-position model. The record is from RNAcentral.